This is a non-coding RNA of Peromyscus maniculatus bairdii (prairie deer mouse), 413 nucleotides long. The record is from the annotation of a RefSeq genome assembly. NCBI's taxonomy places the organism in Eukaryota, Metazoa, Chordata, Mammalia, Rodentia, Cricetidae.
CCUCUCUAUAGUUACAGGAAACACAGGUCCUCACCAUGGGAUGUAGCUGGAUCAUCCUCUUCCUCCUGUCAGUAACUACAGGUGUCCACUCCCAGGUCCAGCUGCAGCAGUCUGGGGCUGAGCUUGUGAAACCUGGGUCCUCAGUGAAGUUGUCCUGCAAGGCUUCUGGCUACACCUUCACUGACUAUGGUAUGAACUGGGUGAAGCAGAGGUCUGGACAGAGCCUGGAGUGGAUUGGAUGGAUUGGUACUUCAAGUGGUAAUACUGAGUACAAUCAGAAGUUCCAGGGCAAGGCCAAACUGACUAUCGACAAGUCCUCCAGCACAGCCUACAUGGAUCUCAGCAGCCUGACAUCUGAGGACUCUGCGGUCUAUUACUGUGCAAGAAACACAGUGUUACAACCCACAUCCUGA